This 226-nucleotide long non-coding RNA is filed under the name Elaeis guineensis (African oil palm). Its description in RNAcentral is "long non-coding RNA (EGUI_LNC013212)". The record is from RNAcentral. Lineage: Eukaryota; Viridiplantae; Streptophyta; Magnoliopsida; Arecales; Arecaceae.
GGUUGGGUUGAUCGAGCCAUCUUCGGGCCUGAUCAUUCAUUAGUUAGAAAUACUGAGUAGGUUCAUAUUAAUGGUUUGACCUAACCAAAACUUUCAGUAGAGGUCCAUCACCUACUGAAAUAAAAUUUAGGAUGAAAUUAAUUAUUAAAAAUUAUUUUAAAAAAUAAUUAGUUGAGAACCUAUCCAUAGGUGCAUAUGGAUUGAUCGAGCCAUCCUCGAGCCUGUA